Long non-coding RNA from Engraulis encrasicolus (European anchovy), 1252 nucleotides. RefSeq lists it as uncharacterized. Lineage: Eukaryota; Metazoa; Chordata; Actinopteri; Clupeiformes; Engraulidae. The record is from RefSeq and is a predicted model, not a curated record. The transcript has 3 exons.
UGCUCUAACAGACCUAUCACAGAUCAGUGCCCCAGUGCUUUUGAAAUCACUGCCAUAGAGCUCGAAAGUCCCGCCCCUUAGUUCCGCGUUUCACGGGACCUAAGCUGACCAUCUAACAACGUGGUAGCGAGUAAAUAUCUUCUGAUCUCAGUCAUGAUAUGCGCUGGGCUACAAAUAUGCUGUUUAAGAUGAUAGAUAAAGAUUAUUCAUGCAGAAGUAUCAAUGUUUUGUUCCGAGACCGUCGGCAUGAAAAAUGUGAAGAAACACCCCACACAGCAGAGGACUCCGAUGCGGAGCCGCGUUCAAGUCACCACAUCCGUGUCACUGUCACAUCCCUUUGGGUUCCACUUGGUGGAUCAGGGUCGCCACCGUGCGCCGCCCCAAAUUCUACUGUCAAAACACGGACCAUAAUCGCAUCCAUAUCUGAUUCACAAACGCGGACGCGCUGUAAAAUCUAACGGACGUUGGUACAGUUUUUGUUGGGGCAGACACGACCGAACAGCGCUCUCCAUAAACAGGUGGAAUUACCUCUGGGUCGGACAGGGCUAGCCAGCUGUAAUCCACCCUGCUACGGUGAUGCCCGCCUGCCUCCCGGCUUUUACGACCAAGAAUCGGAGCGCUGAUGUGAUGUUUCCCCGUCGACUGAUGAGGGAAGGAAGAGAAUGCAGCCACGACACGCGAUUGUUCAACAUGACAGUGAGACAGAAAAAUAAUGUCAAGAUAAAUAAAAAAUCAUGAUGAGUGAAGUUCUUCGUCAGGUUGUGUUUUUUUCGGGAUCUUAUUUAAACGGUGUCUAGGCCAGGUCUGUGUUAUCUGUAGAAUUAAAUCUAAAUGCUGUUUGUAACGGUUAACUGGUUUAGUGUUCGUUUAUUGGGAUUAUAGCAUAAUAAGAAAGUAACUUUAUGAGCACGGAUCCAAAAUGGUCCCGGCCCGGAACAUCUAUGAGUCCGGAAUGGGUCCGUAACUGAUAAAAAGUAGUGGAACCGUGACGGAUACAAUAAGUGGACACGGAAUGAGUCCGCAUCGGAUGUCGCGCCUCCGAACCGGGCUCACUGCGGAGGUACGCUUCUGCACGCGGAUCCGUUGCGGGUGACAAACGGGUCCCUUUUGAGUCCGCACCACGCCUCCGCGUCGGAUGAUAGGCGGCGUGCAAGUGGACGCCGAUACGGCCCCGUUUACCGGAUCCGUUCCGGAGGAUGACCUCCGGAUGGUGGACUCCGGGGCGGAUCCAUUACGGUGUACUUUUGCUGUG